Molecule: ribosomal RNA, 305 nt
Filed under: Mesorhabditis sp. WB-2009
Lineage: Eukaryota; Metazoa; Nematoda; Chromadorea; Rhabditida; Rhabditidae
Description: SSU rRNA
Rfam family: Eukaryotic small subunit ribosomal RNA
Source: RNAcentral
AAAGUGUAUGUCAUUAUUGCUGCGGUUAAAAAGCUCGUAGUUGGAUCUGAGCCUUUGGCGACAGUUCGUUUUCAUGCGAUACUGUGGCCGGGGUUAAUUUUGUCGGUUCGCCGGCAAGAGUUACUCUGAAUAAAUCAGAGUGCUCAAAACAAGCGUUUCGCUUGAAUGUUUUUGCAUGGAAUAAUGGAAAAGGACUUCGGUUCCUUACUGUUGGUUUCGGAAUUGGAUUAAUGAUUAAGAGGGACCAACGGGGGCAUGCGUACCGCUACGCGAGAGGUGAAAUUCAUGGACCGUAGCGUGACGAC